This is a non-coding RNA of Lonchura striata (white-rumped munia), 6684 nucleotides long. Lineage: Eukaryota; Metazoa; Chordata; Aves; Passeriformes; Estrildidae. The record is from RefSeq and is a predicted model, not a curated record.
UUUUUUUUUAAUCCUUAAUUUCCAAAACUUGAGUGGUUUGCUUCUUGCAAUUGAAACAUGUUUGUAUUUAAGGGUCUGAGAGUGCAUUUUGCAAUGCAUGGGGAGUGUUCUGUCCUAUCUUGGUUACAUGAUGUAAACAGCAAGCUGUGUUCUGGGAGGCUCCUGGAAGCUCCUUUACAGUGCUGAGGGGUGGAGAAGGUUCAGUACCAGAUUCUCCUUACACUGCACCAGUCUUGCUGUGAGUGUCAGAUGGGGCAAGAGGCUGGGUUUGGUACAGAACUCAUGGAAUUGCCACCACUGAUUGCCCUCAGUGUUUGGACCCCAAAGCCCAUCAGGGGCAGGUCCUGGGUGUUCCAUGCACGAUGUUUCCUCUGGCCUCGGGUGUUUUCUCUUUUGCUGUUAUUAACAGGAUUUUGCUUUCACUCUCCCUCUGAACACAUGGCCUGUGCUCACGGGCCAGGGAGCACAGCUGCUGUGGGUCAGAGGGUGGCCACACCAACUUGCUCUCUGUGGCUUUUGCACAUCUCUGCACAUCAGUGUGUGUGGGGACAGUGCUUAGCACACAAUGAAAUGACUUUUCAUGGAGCUUGUAGAACUGAUGCCGGCAGGUCAGACAUCACCUGAACACCUGUAAGCAAACCUGCAGGUAGAGCAGGUGUAGCCCAGUCCCUCAUGUGUGUCACUGUGCCUGGAAGUCUGGCACUUUGUCCUGGGGGGAAAAGCCCCUAUUCCCAGCUACCUCAUUUUUUCUUUCUUUGCACUUUGUCAAAUAUUUUUUGUUUUGUUUUAAAUCACAUUUUGUCCUUCAAUUAAAACCUAAAAGCAGACAAGAAGCAGGACAGAAUGGUACCAUUGUCCAAGGACAGUUUAAUUUCAUUUUAAAUUAAUGUUUCUGUACAAAAAGACCAAGGUUGACCUGCAGCUGCUGUAAAAAGUAAAUAAAAAUUUCUAUAACUUGAUAAUAACUAUUAUACUUGGAAAUGAGAGUAGCAAUUGAAAAGCUGUCCUGAUGAUUUUUAAAUAGGAAGACAUCUGUUCAAAAAAAUAGAAGUCUCUGCUCUUUUAAGGACAGAUCAGAUAGUUUUCUCUCUGCCUCUACUCUGCUCUCACUAUUUUGCCUGUGGACUUGAUACAAUAGAGAGAUUCACUGAUUUUUCUGUAAUGUCUAAUUAGAUAUUUUUCUGUGGAGUUUCCCAUUUAAUCACCUGCAGAGGAAAAACUGUUCAAAUCAAUACCCACCUUCCAUACCUGAACUGUCAUUGACCAUUUUUUAUGAUCUUCAGGUAUGUGGGAUUUUGCGUAGAUUGAAAAAGUUUUUUAAGUGUCUUUUCUUCUGCUCCUAAAGGUGCUAUUUCGACAUAGUUUUGAAUUCCUUACACUGUGCUUGACUUCUAAAAGUACCAAUAUAAGCUGGUAAUCAGCUUGUGUUUAUUCUGUGGAGUUUUUCUUUGAGUAUUCAAUCUCUAUUUUGAAAAGCAUCCCUUUUCAUAAAGAUGGCUUCCAAACUGUCAAAAGGCCUUAAUAAUGCAAAAUAUAAUGGGAAAAUGCUCCCUUUUCCCUUCUUUGUAAAGGCAAAACCAAGAAAUGCUUCACAGAGAAUAUUUUCCUCUAAAAUUUUGAGGAGACGCUGAUACUAACUUUGAAUUCAAUGUAGCAAACAUUUUAGUGGCCAUGCACAAAUAGCAGGGGUGAAACAAGGAGCUAUUCAUUAACUCUGCAGACUGUACCAAUUAGCUGCUAAUUCCAGAGCCUUCCAUUAGCAUCAUGGUGGCUAUUCCAUAAAUAUUAAUCUUCCCAGGCUUGGUCCCAGGACAUGGCUGUGUGUCUGGGACACACUGACCCAUGAGGCUGGCAGGUCACUGGGGUGUUGUGCCCAGUGUAGGGUUUGUCUCAGACCCCUCCUGCUCAGCCCCCCAGGGUUUAGUGCUCAGGAGGAGGGAGGAGGGAAGCUCCAAGUGCUGCCAUUGCAGUGACAUCAGCUUGGGCACUAUGAGAAGAGGCUCUUGUAGACACAAGCUCUGGAGGAGAGAGCUGAAUUUUAGUCCUGCAUAGGAACUUUGUUGUUGUCUUUUUUGUGCUGCCUUUAUUUCUGUUUGAUCCGUAUCAUCAGUUUGUUUUAGGCAUUUGGUAACACUGCUACAGGAAGGUUUUUCUUUCUCUAAAGCACAUGAAGUCCUACUCCUGCCCUGUCUGAAGCAGCAGGAUCAAGGGUUGAUGUUUGAAUUUGUCCCAUCUCCAUACAUCAGGUAAUUUAUUGUCUUCUUAUAGGCUCUGCAUUCCCAGUGCUGUAGCAUUUUUCACUCAUGUUAAUCUCAGAGCUCUUUAGCCUUUUGAAAAGAGUCCAGAGACUGCCUUGUCCUUUUCCUCCUUCACACAUUGGGUGCUGCCCUCUGGACCAUCCAGACUCAUCCAGGCUGUCACUGCAGAGGAGCCACCAGUUGGUGGCCUCACAGGAAUAUCUGUGUUACCUGCAGUGCUUCUGAAAAACAGCUGAAAAAUGUUGAAAACAGCUGAAAAUGGACAAACUACUGAGCUUGCAAUUUCCUGAUCCUCUCAUUCUAGGGAAGGCUGAGGAGCAACAUUGUUCCUUGCCUUGCAGCUGCUCCCUGCUGCACAGGUAAGGAUGAGUCCACACUGUCCCUUAUGAUGUAAAGAUUGAUGGGCUGUUAUAGGAGACUUGCUAUUUUGCAUUUGUUGUAUUUAAAUCUGAACUUCUGGAGCUAUGGAACUGUGGGUUCUGGAACUAUGUCUGCAGUGUAGAACCACAGGUACUGGCCUAAAGAGCCGGGGAGCUUCUGGCCACCUGUUUUUACACUGCACUUUCUUCUUUUCUUGAGAAACCAGAGAUGUGAAACUGCAUCCCAGUUUGUAUGCCCACUGCUCUGUAAUCCAGAGUAGGACCCUGAUAACCUGGAAUUGUUUUACCUUCAGAAGGAAAAACUGAAAUUUCUUCACAUUAGAUGCUCUAUCUUUCAGAGUUUUCUCUCGGUAAACCAUAUUUAUUUGGUUCCAUGAAUCUUGUGGGAUUGGGUUAAAGAAAUGAAUAUGUAUUAUAAGAAUGAUAACUAGUAUACUUAGUCUGACUUUGUACAGUACAAAUACUCUCUUAUAUCUUAAGAGAAUGAAAAAACUAUUGAAUAAUCCAAUUAUGAUAUCUGUAUUCCAUGAACCAAGUAAUAGGAGGGUGUUGGAAUGUGAUGUUACGUUGCUGCCACUCACGUAAAGGUUCAGUGUUCUGUCAAAUCUAAGAUCUUGAUAAUUACCAGGAUAUUAUCAGAAUAUAUUGCCACCUUUUCUACAAAAGGCACAUUGGUGUGGUGAGGUAAAAGUACUCACCUCUUCUUUACCAUCUGUGGCAUGCAGCUGGACAGCAAGGGUCAUCCCCAUCAUGCAGCUGUGGUGCUCUGACUCCUGUGUUACAGAUGUGGUUACUGUUACAGCCUUUCUAUGUGUGUACAUGUUCUGUGGGUCCUGCUUUGUGUGGGAAUGGAGUUUUAGCUUUUAUGUGUCCACCUCAAAAUCUUUAGAAAUUAAUUGAUUAAUCACUUGGGGGCAGGGUUUGGAAUACUCUGAUCAGAGUAUGUUGAGUUACUUCUGUAUAAAACAGGGAAAAAUAAGACAUAAAUGCUCUUUGACCUCAAUCAAACUAUGCAAUACAGCACACCAGAGAGCUGAAUUCCUUGUGAUACAGAAGUGCAUCUCCUGUGUCCUUCCAAACCCAGUCCUUGGUCCAAGGUUAGGAGAGCUUGUACUCAAUGGCUGCCCAAGAAUCUCGUAUCCAGAUCAACUCUAGUUCACUGCUUUUGCUCCUGCCCCCUUGCCUGACCCAGCAGUUCAGCCAGGUCAGGUUGUUGGGUGUUUUGGCUCAGAAUGAUGUGAUCUCCGUGUGUGUCCCUCCUGUUGUCCCAUGGUGUUGUCAACUGGAGCUUGUCCUAUAACCCCACCAGUGUGGCUUUACCCUCUGGGGCCACUUCAGCACAUUUGCACCUCCCUGCCCUAGAGCAUGUCAGGUGUUUGAGGUUUGCUGUGCCCCCUGGGUUGGUGUUGUCUUGCUUUCCCUGUGUCAGUCACUUGUGGAUCUGGUGCUUACAGUAAAGAAUGCCUGUGAUGUCUCCAAUCAGUCCAAGUACGUUUUCAUUUCUGCCACUUCUGUGCGAGUUUGGUCUUUUUGCUUCUGUGGCAAUUCAGCGAUAAAUGCCCAUGUGUCAGGACUGCUGGUAAAGGUUCUUUGUUCUCCCACUGCUUCAUUUUUCUAAUGAAAUUUAUUCCUUGUGUUCUUCUUCUUCCCCCUGUUAAAAAACGGGUACAGUUUUUCCUGGUUCUGCCUCCCGUGAGGAGCUCUCCUCUCCCAGGUGAUCAUGAAUUCUUCAUUUCCUUAAGCCUGGACCUCAUACAGUUUCUGCCUCCUAAUUCCCUUUACUAUUUUGUCUCUCUUUAAUUGAGAUUGACCUCGAUUUCUUUCUCUGAUUCCAAACAGGGAUUUUGGUGCAUAGCCUGGGAGACAAGCAGGAAAGCUCUCUCUGUGUACAUCCAUUUCCUCCCCAGCACACGCAGUGUAAGGGGCUCAGCCUGUUCCAUUCCCUCCCCCAGGUUUUUCCUAGUGCUAAGCAGACCACAGGCUGAAGCCAUUUCUUAUUUCUUUUGGUAACUGAAAAUUUUAGGAGAUUUUCUUCUUCAGAAAUAGCCACUGCAGAUGAGCAGCUGGCAUGAGUGAGGGUUGUUAUGCUUCCAUAUUCAGUAUUUUUAAUUGAGGAACAAAUAAUUUAUUUUGGGGAAAAAUGUAAAUUUUUUUGUAUUUGUAUGUCAAAGUGGCCUUUAUAGGAAAAGCACAUAAAAUAGUUAGAUUAAAAUUGCUUAGUUGUGUAAUUUCAGUGGGGAUUUUUGUAUUGACAGGGUUUCUAUGCAUUUUUCAAAAUAUACUUGCUGGUUUGUGUUAGAAUUAUUGGAAAUCUUUUAAAAAACAUGUAUUACCACAUUUUCCAUGGUUGAUCCCUUUACUAUCAUUCCUUUUGAAUACUAAAAAGAUUUUAAUUAACCCUGUAAAUUAAUUUUCCCCACAAAUAUUUGCAUUAAGUCAAUAUAAUGAGUUAUAGCAUGGGUAUGUAGCUUUAACGAAAUAAGCCUAGUAGUGCAGCUUAAUUCUGGAGAGAUAUGUUUGCAGAAGGGUGGUACAGCAGCGUUUCAAUUGCACUUAAAACACUAAAUUAGGAAAUUAAGUUUUUGCUGUACCUCACUAGGGUUUUAUUAAACUAUGUCCAUCCUGUAUUGUUUACACUUUAGCAUUAUUUAACUAUGUAUUGUUUGUGCAGUUUGCAGUUCUCUGUUCUGUCAGGAUUAUGUGAACAUUAAAAGAUAGGAAAAGUUUUGGAGUGUGUGGUGUCCUCGUGGGUUUGACGUGAGUUUGGGGAGGGAGGAGAGAGGAAAGUCAGAUCCAUUAGUGCAUUUUUCCAUUAAAUGAUGUACACGUUUUCACAUUAGAUGAGACUGAAUAACAGAAGUUACAAUUGAACUGUGAGUAAAAUCAGUGGUUUGGGGGUGGGGGGAAUUAAGGGGUUGCAGAACUUAAGGCAAAAACCCUUCAGUUGCACUGUGGUACAACUGCCCUGACUGCCUGUGCAAAGCAUAGCCCGAGGGGACACAUCAGACCUAUCCAUUUUUCUGGUUUUACUUUCUCUUCCCCAGGUGUUGCUGCAAGGUUUGCUAGGUAGGACCUUCCCAAGAAUGUUUAUCAACUGAGACUUGAGUUUUAUAAUUUUAUGUUUGUAGUUUUAAUUUUUGUUCUUGUUUGUGUUUCAUAGAACAUCCCUCAUGUUCACAGGUUAGUGUAAGUGCAGGCUUUCAGGUGUAGCACCAAAUGAGCGUUUCAUGCAACCAUGCAUUCUGUAAUUGACAAAAAAUGUGCAAUUCUAAUGGUAUUUUGACCCAUUGCUGAAACACUGGGUUUUGCAAUUGAACAAACUCAAAAAUUGAAAACACUCUGUGUCUUCAUUAGAUGUCUUGAAGGUGAAGCAAAAGGCAGUUACUCCAGUUGUACCCAUGAUAAUUUGGUAAUUUUUUAAUAGUUUUAUGGUCUGUUUUUAGAAAAAAACACUAAUUUCUUGGUUUACUUUAGUUGCCAUAAAUUGCCUAGUGCAGAGUCUGGUCCACCUCCAUUUGUUUAUUUUCAUGGAGUAGUUGCACAAAAACUGGUAACAGCAAAGUAGGAAAGCUCUUUGGUUACUCACCAGUAGCUUCCCUUGCAGAAUUGCUUUGUGGCUCACACAUGGUAUGAAAAGGGACACGGGAAUUUUCCUGGAUUCAGUAGCACUCGCUUUGUUUACGUGUUCAGUAGAACAUUGGGUGACUAAAGGGAGGCUCCCUUUUUAAAGUAUUUGACUUGUGCUUUGAGGACUUAGUUGCCACUGUGCAAAUUGUGCUGUAACAUUGUACCAAGGAUCAGUGAAAGUGUUUUAUCUUUUUUAAUGUCGUUUGUAUUUGACCGGGUUUUAUAAAUGUAAGAAAACAGAGUGUUGUAUUUUGAUCUGAAAUUUGCGUAUGGUAAAAGUAACUUUGCUUUAUGUAUCGGAGGUUUGUUCAGAACUUGAAUCAUUUUAUAGAAGGGUACAGACCAAAAUUAAUUGUCUUAAAGGUGUUUAAUAAAUUAACCAAAUAAAACAUUGAUUGUUUGAAAACUUGUUAACUGCA